GCCUGAUAAGAGGCACAGCAUCAAAGGAAGGGGGUGGGAACAUCACCCACUCCUUCUCCUUAGUAGCAUUCGUUGCUGAAAGAAUCAAAGAAGGGCUAUCCCUCUUCUGACCUCUUAGCCGAGCCAACCUCUUCCAGGGUGAGUUCAGGAGUCUCCUUCACUGGCACAGUUAAUCAUAUUUGACAUUUUGAUUUCCAGGUGAUGACAGAACCGCAACACAAGCUCAGCUGCUUCAGAGGAUGAGCUGGCUUCCAGAUCAGGUAUUAAUUAGGUUCCCCCUGUGCACACACAUCAUUUUUAAAUUAAUGCUGCCGGGAUCUAGUCCCAUUCCAUGCCUAGCCCCAGUUGAGAAACAUGAUGUUCAGUGGGGCACUGUGUGCCAGGCGUUGUGGGUCAAAAUCAGUAGUGGAGGAAGUAAUAAUAAUAAUAAUAAUAAUAAUAUAUUUAUACCCCAGCCACUCUGGGUGGCUCCCAACAAAAUAUUAUUAGUAAUAAUAAUAAAGAGAUAAAACAUCAAACAUUUAAAAACUUCCCUAAACAGGGCUGCCUUCAGAUGUCUUCUAAAAGUCAGAUAGUUGUUUAUUUCCUUGACAUCUGAUGGGAGGGUGUUCCACAGGGUGGGUGCCACUACCAAGAAGGCCCUCUGCCUGGUUCCCUGUAACCUCACUUCUUGCAGGGAGGGAACCGCCAGAAGGCCCUCAGAGCUGGACCACACACAACGGUUCUCUUUAAUCAUGUUGAAACUCCCCUUUAUCUGACCCGAGACUGAUAUGACCAUGUUUUGUGCUAUGGCACAAUAAAUAAUAAUAUUUUAUUUUAUUUUAUUAUUUUAUAUCUACACCAGCAGGUAUCUGGGCAAGUUACAACAAUUUAAAAAAUCAUAAUUAAAAAAAAUUAAGACAUAUUACAUUUACAAGAAUCCAUGUUCUUUUAUAAUCAGCUUAUUUACAGUAUUUACUGCCAACCUAGCAGUUUGAAAGCAUACUAGUGCGAGUAGAUAACUAGGUACCACUGCAGCAGGAAGGUAAACGCCGUUUCCAUACAGCAUAGAUGUACGGUAUAAUGAUUUCCUGGGAAUUGUCAUGGUUCCUCCCACUGAAUCCUGGGAACUGUAGUUUGGUGAGGAUGCUGAGAAUUCUCCCUUGCUCCCCCCACAACCUCCUAGAACUGCAAUCCUCAGGAUUUUCUGAGACAUGGAAAUGACUAUUAAACCAACAGAAAAUUGUUGUAAAUCAGCCCAAUGCCCAGUAGUGAAAGAAGGGGGACAGGGGCCACAGGCAGUACUGGGGCUCCCUCCAACAUGGGGAGUGGGACACGUGGGGCAUGCAGCCUGCAGGGUGCCCCAGCCGCUGCCCCCCGCCCCCUCCAGCUGAGGGGGAGGUGGCUGGUGGACUCCCUGCAGGCUGUGUGUAGUGUGCCCUGUCCCAGCUAGCCCUGCCUAGUGGGCAGCUAGCCCCACCCCUGGAAGCUAGCCCUGCCCUGGACACCCAAGCAACUAGCUACGCCACUUUCCUGUUCCAAAUCGGUGUUUUCAACUUCUUGUCCCUUUGGGUAAUUCCUUUCAUCCCAUGUGUCACAUCUUGUUCGUUAAAGGGGCUGGCUGUUUCUGGAGCCCAUUUCAAAGCUGAUCUUUCCUGCUAAUGCAAAUCUUGAAAUCACCUUUUUCUUUCCUUAGCUGUGGCGGAUUAUAUCCAGUUAGGUUCUGUGUGACACCAUGUGCAAUUGGAUGUCAAGAUCAUAUCCCGCUUUUUGCUCAAAUAUAAAUUGAGCUCCCAGGAUGUGGACUUGGCCUUUUGGCCAGAGGCAAUUCAGGUCAGGAAGAUGACGAGCUCUGCGAAAGUCCAAAUUGUACUGCAAUAUAGAAGAGCUGGGUUCAGAAGUUCAAAGCAGAAUCCAUGCCGCAAGAUGACAGGGUGGAACUGCCAGAGCUAAGUGGAAAGCUGGUAGAGCAGAAACCAAACAAAGAGGGCAGGCAGACAUAACAUUUGCAGAGCUGUGGCACUAGUUCAAAAGCACAGUUGCUCCAUUCCUUACAAAUGUACCUUUUCCCAUCUAAGGCCAAUCUCAGGAGAAAAUAGCUCUGCAAGUUGGGCUACUGCCGUUAAUGCUACGAAAGCACCUCAGCCCAUCAGUCCUGAAACAGCAUAAUAAAAAUGUUUCCUUUUUUUCCAAUUAGGCGAAGCGUGAAUGUGGAUAGUGUCAUUAUACAGUUUAGUCACUAGGUGGCCCUAGACUUAGCUGUAGCUUGAGAAGUCGGGAGUUGUCUGUGUCUGUUCUGUUCCUAAGAGAGACAAUAAUAAGGUUAAGGAAUAGACCCUACACAAAUUCAGAGUGGAGUCCCUAAGAUGGUUAGAUAGGACCUUGUAUUCCUCCUCCCGGCGAUUCCUGAAGCCAGGCUGGUGCCAGACAUAUUUCUGCUUUCCACUGAAGCACAUCAGCAAAGCCAAGAGGGGGGUCCUGUCAUCCCAGUACGUUUCCGAGCACAAUUCAAAGUGUUGGUGCUGACCUUUAAAGCCCUAAACGGCCUCGGUCCUGUAUACCUGAAGGAGCGUCUCCACCCCCAUCGUUCUACCCGGACACUGAGGUCCAGCACCGAGGGCCUUCCGGCAGUUCCCUCACUGCGAGAAGCCAAGUUACAGGGAACCAGGCAGAGGGCCUUCUCAGUAGUGGCACCCGCCUUGUGAAACGCCCUCCCACCAGAUGUCAAAGAGAACAACAACUACC
Non-coding RNA from Podarcis lilfordi (Lilford's wall lizard), 2724 nucleotides. The record is from the annotation of a GenBank genome assembly. NCBI's taxonomy places the organism in Eukaryota, Metazoa, Chordata, Lepidosauria, Squamata, Lacertidae.